CCUUUAAGGAAGAAAACAAAACAUUCAGAGUUAAACAGGAAGAGAUACUACGAACAUAUAAGUGCCAAUUAUCGAAGGCAAAAAGAGGUAUUGGAAGAAAGACUUUGAAUUUCUACUGUGGUCUGUUGCGACAGCUAUAUCAGGGAUAGAGUUCGUUUUUGUUUACAAAAAACACAAUUUGUUCCAGAUUAAGGCUAAUCAUCCUUCACCUAAACAUCCUUUCGAAAAAAAAAAUCCGUGGGAAGACUGAGCUGGAUGGGUUCCUACAUACACAGAAAAGGGCUGGUUCAUUUACGUAGGUGUAAAAAAGGUCCGACGUAAAGUACGUUUCACCUGCUCGCUAUCCUGGUAAGAGACAGGAAGGAGUUUCGCGACAGUGGUCUGAAGAAGCUGAAAAGAAGACGUAAAAGUACAAAAAUACAACCAACAUCUGGCCGAAAGAGGACAUUCCUUGAGGUUACGCCUAGGCUAAUACAUUUUCAUGAAGGAAUCGCUUUAUAUGACGAUGUAUUUCAACCUAAGCAUGAGUUACUAAUAAGCAACGACGAGAUCUUUCAAGAAAAGCAGAGUUCCCAUUUUGCCCGCCGCUUCCCGUACAGUCUUCAACAAAGCACAUGAAUGGCGCAGAUCCACAGUGACGUAUCUCUCACGUGACUCCCGACAGACAGCGCGGUGCAGAGAAGCGUCAGUGACGGUAAGCUUGGCACCGGUCCAACUCGACUGGGUCUCACCGCGCUGUGAGCGCCUCAUGCACAGGACUCGGCACCAGGUAGACACACGAGCGUCGGUUGCAUCCUUAGGGGGAAGGCCCGAGAGGUUGCUUAGCAACGGGGGCUUAUACAUGCUGCCUUCGUCUAGAAGAUUAUAAAAGCAUCAACACCCAGGUUACAGUUAGUCUGCUUAGCAACCGCUUUUGGUGUCACGCACGCCUUAACUGAUAACAGUAGAAAGACAAAAAUAAGAGCGUUAACUUUAUUUUAAAAAACGAAGGUUUAAUUUCACUGCAUCUAAUGCAGAACGAGGGUUCUCACUUGGACUUGAGCACAGCGCACGUAAUUUCCCGAUUCUCUCUCUCGAUGCUCUUGCGCUUGUGUUUGACCGAUUCUCACUUAUGUUGCGCUUCCGUUUCGCUUACGUACGCAAAACGGUCAUAAGUGGUUGUACAUGGAUCAGAAACGGACAUAAGUGGACGUACUUGGAUCAGAAACGGACAUAAGUGGUCGUACUUGGAUCAGAAACGGACAUAAGUGGACGUACUUGGAUCAGAAACGGACAUAAGUGGUCGUACUUGGAUCAGAAACGGACAUAAGUGGACGUACUUGGAUCAGAAACGGUCAUAAGUGGACGUACUUGGAUCAGAAACGGACAUAAGUGGUUGUACAUGGAUCAGAAACGGACAUAAGUGGUGGUCGUACUUAGAUCAGAAACAGACAUAAGUGGUUGUACAUGGAUCAGAAACGGACAUAAGUGGUUGUACUUGGAUCAGAAACGGACAUAAGUGGUCGUACUUGGGUCAGAAACGGACAUAAGUGGUCGUACUUUGAUCAGAAACGGACAUAAGUGGACGUACUUGGAUCAGAAACGGACAUAAGUGGACGUACUUGGAUCAGAAACGGACAUAAGUGGUCGUACUUUGAUCAGAAACGGACAUAAGUGGUUGUACUUGGAUCAGAAACGGACAUAAGUGGUUGUACUUGGAUCAGAAACGGACAUAAGUGGUCGUACUUUCAUCAGAAACGGACAUAAGUGGUUGUAAUUCGGUCAGAAACGGACAUAAGUGGUUGUACUUGUCGUACAUGGAUCAGGAACGGUCAUAAGUGGCUGUACUUCGAUCAGAAGCGGCCAUAAGUGGAUGUACAUAAGUGGAUGUACUUGGAUCAGAAACGGCCAUAAGUGGAUGUACUUGGAUCAGAAACGGUCAUAAGUGGUUGUACUUUGAUCAGAAACGAGUGCGUUUUGGAGCGGGUCACCUAAAAUGGCUAUAAACUUGACAACAGGGCCAGCCCUAGAGUAACGAGGUGAAGCCACCUACCACCAAAAGAACUGCUGACCGUCCGACUGCAGGCCUGUACGGCUAGCACAUAGCAACAGCACGGUGGAGGCAAGGGAAGUUUACCAGAAGGGUUAUCCUGAAAAAAAAAAGGCGGCGAGAAUUACAAAUGCCAAAGGCAUUGUCCCCUCAGAGAGGGGCCUAAGGCGGGCUUAUCAUGACGUCACACUUACAGAAUAUCAAACCUUUCAUUGAAGGGUGUCUAUUUUAAAUACACAUACCUCCGAGCUCAGAGGCAGGCUGUCCCAUUCCCCCGUCCGCCUCCCGUCCUCGUCUUUCCACAGAGAGUCAAUCAAGGAAAACAGACCAGGUGAUCUUGAAAAGCAACAAAAUAAAAAAAGCCCGAUUUCUGGCAUCACCUCUCCACUCAACCCCAUUCCAACUAACGUCGGAUCCCAUUUGUUGCGAUCGUGUGUGAUAAUAUGGAAACAAACCUACAAGGAAACCACUUUGCGGUCGGAAUAAUGCGAUCUUCUAGCAACAAAAAAACAAACAAUUAUCUUUAGCAGAAUUUACCUUGCACGAUUUAUUCUUUGUAAUAUUUUAAGGUCAGAGAAUUUGAACAGUUUUCCCUCGCUUGCCAGAACACCAGACCUAAAAUCAACAAGACAAACUUGUUCAACCAUACAAGACGGUAUUUGAUUAUUGUUUCAUGCCUAAGUUAGUUACUAAACUAAUGGUUCA
Molecule: long non-coding RNA, 2734 nt
Organism: Nematostella vectensis (starlet sea anemone)
Lineage: Eukaryota; Metazoa; Cnidaria; Anthozoa; Actiniaria; Edwardsiidae
Exons: 2
Source: RefSeq, a predicted model, not a curated record